AUGGGGUGCAGCAGGGGCGAAAACUCCGCAAUGCGGGCAACCGUGACGGGGCCACCCCGAGUGCCCCGAAGAGGGGCUUUUCCCCGCUGUAAAUAGGCGGGGGUAAUAAGCGGGGGGCAAGUCUGGUGUCAGCCGCCGCGGUAAUACCAGCCCCGCGGGUGGUCGGGACGAUUAUUGGGCCUAAAGCGCCCGUAGCCGGCCCGGUAAGUCCCCCCUUAAAGCCCCGGGCUCAACCCGGGGACGGGGGGGAUACUGCCGGGCUAGGGGGCGGGAGAGGCCGAGGGUACUCCCGGGGUAGGGGCGAAAUCCGUUAAUCCCGGGAGGACCACCAGUGGCGAAGGCGCUCGGCUGGAACGCGCCCGACGGUGAGGGGCGAAAGCCGGGGGAGCGAACCGGAUUAGAUACCCGGGUAGUCCCGGCUGUAAACGAUGCGGGCUGGGUGUUGGGCGGGCUUAGAGCCCGCCCAGUGCCGCAGGGAAGCCGUUAAGCCCGCCGCCUGGGGAGUACGGCCGCAAGGCUGAAACUUAAAGGAAUUGGCGGGGGACAC
This 547-nucleotide ribosomal RNA is filed under the name uncultured crenarchaeote. RNAcentral describes it as "partial 16S ribosomal RNA". It matches the Rfam family "Archaeal small subunit ribosomal RNA", at positions 325 to 879 of the family's 1478-position model. The record is from RNAcentral. Lineage: Archaea; Thermoproteati; Thermoproteota.